CUGUUGAAUUCUCUCUGCAUGCAGUGUCAGUGUUGUUUCCAUGGCUGAUGGCAGUGGUGUCAUUUGGAAACUACUAAACUUUGUUUUUGCCAUGGGGAGCAUUUGGUGGUGUACAGCAUGAUCAGAAAGGAUCUGAGCACAAGGCCCUGGAGGGAUCUGGAUAUCAGCUAUACUGUUUCUCAGGAACACUAAUAACCAAUUGCAGAGGGAGAGUUUGUGGAGCCAGCGCACCGAUGAACUGAGAAGAACCUCUCCUUAUAUGCCCCCCCAAAAGCCCCUCGGGGUCAGGGGAGCUUAAAACCCUUCCUCCUGUGGAAGCAUCUGGUUCAUCUUAUAGAAGAUCAACAAGAAGAGCAGAUAUCUAUUAACUUUGGCCCUAUAUAAGGUUGGGAUGUGACCUGACCUUGAGCAGAAGGGGGUAUCAGAAGAAACCAGGAAAGGUGUCUGCCACCACUUUUUCAUCAUCCUUGACAAUAAUUCCAUACCUUGCAGGUCAACCUCUUCUCUUGCUGCUUUUGAUAAACUGUUCAAGGCACAUUUUGUGUUUGU
Molecule: long non-coding RNA, 549 nt
Organism: Gasterosteus aculeatus aculeatus (three-spined stickleback)
Lineage: Eukaryota; Metazoa; Chordata; Actinopteri; Perciformes; Gasterosteidae
Source: Ensembl